This 749-nucleotide long non-coding RNA is filed under the name Parus major (Great Tit). Its description in RNAcentral is "lncRNA (ENSPMJG00000015393.1)". Lineage: Eukaryota; Metazoa; Chordata; Aves; Passeriformes; Paridae. The record is from RNAcentral.
CUCACAGCUGCUGGUUUUGCUGUUUAAUGCAGUGGCAGCUCCUUUCUCUGUGGAGGCCGCAUCUUCUCGGAAAGAAGUGCUCCAGGCUGCAGGAGGGCAAACCAUGGGCUUCUCGCUGCCUGCAACACCACGAGGAGCCUGCUAAGUGAGUGCAGAGGGACAACAAGUGAGCUACUCUGGGAUGAUGCCACGGGUACUUCUUCACGGCUGUGGAAUAAGGUCCAGCUGACAAGCAAGGCUGGGGGAGCUGUGGAAGAAAAGUGCCCAGAGGAGAACAAGGGAUACAGUGCAGUCAGCUGGAGGUUUUACUGGAAUACACACACACACAGGGUUGAAAGUAAAUGUCAGGUGACCCAGAUGGAGCUGCACCCUGAACAACCUGAGCACAGAAACAACAGGAAAUUGGAGAGGAAAUUCACUCACUUUAGCACUGUGAGAAGUGAAAGGAUUUUUGUCACCACUUUUCCUAAAGAGCUGAAGCAUUCCAUGUUUUCUGGAGUCCCAGAACCACGUGCACUUUGCCUGUGUUGAUGUCAGUUGUCCUCACUGCUGCUCCAAAAGUUUCCUUGGAAUGAAGGGACAUUCUGCCUCCCUGCCUGAGCCAAAUCCUGGAAUCAUUUUUCGGAGCUGCUGUCAGAAGUUGACAUUUUUUCACUGUUUGUUUCAGGUGACAAGAGCUCAGGUGAGCUUUUGCAAGCAAUUCAUUAAUUCCCUUGAUUUCCAAGCUGGAGGAAAACAAAUUGCUUUAC